RNAcentral lists this ribosomal RNA (482 nucleotides) under uncultured bacterium. Its description in RNAcentral is "partial 16S ribosomal RNA". It matches the Rfam family "Bacterial small subunit ribosomal RNA", at positions 30 to 507 of the family's 1533-position model. The record is from RNAcentral.
AUUGAACGCUGGCGGCAUGCCUUACACAUGCAAGUCGAACGGUAACGGGCCUUCGGGUGCCGACGAGUGGCGAACGGGUGAGUAAUACAUCGGAACGUGCCCGAUCGUGGGGGAUAACGAGGCGAAAGCUUUGCUAAUACCGCAUACGAUCUACGGAUGAAAGCAGGGGACCGCAAGGCCUUGCGCGGGCGGAGCGGCCGAUGGCAGAUUAGGUAGUUGGUGGGAUAAAAGCUUACCAAGCCGACGAUCUGUAGCUGGUCUGAGAGGAUGAUCAGCCACACUGGGACUGAGACACGGCCCAGACUCCUACGGGAGGCAGCAGUGGGGAAUUUUGGACAAUGGGCGCAAGCCUGGUCCAGCCAUGCCGAGUGCAGGAUGAAGGCCUUCGGGUUGUAAACUGCUUUUGUACGGAACGAAAAGCCUUCUUUUAAUACAGGAGGGUCAUGACGGUAACGUAAGAAUAAGCACCGGCUAACUACGUG